Molecule: ribosomal RNA, 475 nt
Filed under: Burkholderia cenocepacia
Lineage: Bacteria; Pseudomonadati; Pseudomonadota; Betaproteobacteria; Burkholderiales; Burkholderiaceae
Description: bacterial SSU rRNA
Rfam family: Bacterial small subunit ribosomal RNA
Source: RNAcentral
UCCUGGCUCAGAUUGAACGCUGGCGGCAUGCCUUACACAUGCAAGUCGAACGGCAGCACGGGUGCUUGCACCUGGUGGCGAGUGGCGAACGGGUGAGUAAUACAUCGGAACAUGUCCUGUAGUGGGGGAUAGCCCGGCGAAAGCCGGAUUAAUACCGCAUACGAUCUACGGAUGAAAGCGGGGGACCUUCGGGCCUCGCGCUAUAGGGUUGGCCGAUGGCUGAUUAGCUAGUUGGUGGGGUAAAGGCCUACCAAGGCGACGAUCAGUAGCUGGUCUGAGAGGACGACCAGCCACACUGGGACUGAGACACGGCCCAGACUCCUACGGGAGGCAGCAGUGGGGAAUUUUGGACAAUGGGCGAAAGCCUGAUCCAGCAAUGCCGCGUGUGUGAAGAAGGCCUUCGGGUUGUAAAGCACUUUUGUCCUGGAAAGAAAUCCUUGGUUCUAAUACAUCCGGGGGAUGACGGUACCGAAGA